GAUGAACAUUACAGCCUCUAACUAUACUUCAAAUGAUUUAAUUAAUGAGGGACCCUCACUGAAGCUGGAGCAUGCCAAUUUUCAUCUAUGCUGUUACCCAGAAAACCCCAGUGAUCAUUGUGUCUUCAGCCUGACAGCUUUGGGGUUACAGAUAAAAUGGAAAAUGCAAAUCAAAGAGGACAUCUGGGAUGGCGAGAUGCUCAGUGGAUAAAGAACUUGCUAAGCAAACCUGAGAACCUGAGUUUGAGCUCCCAAAUCCCUGUGUAAAGCUGGGCAUGGUGGUGUGUCUUUGUAACCUUACCGCUGGAAAAGUGGAGACAGGAGAAUUCCUGAGGAUUUGUUGUCAGCCAACCGAGCCUAAUGGGCAAGCCCCAAAUCCCAGUGAGAAACUCUGCUCAAAAUUCAAGAUGCACGACACCUGAGGAAUGAUGCCUGAGGUGCUGGCCUCUGACCUCUGGUCUCCACACACAGGUACCACACUUGCAUACACAUACAUCACCCCACAUGGAGAAACACACACACACACACACACA
RNAcentral lists this long non-coding RNA (533 nucleotides) under Cricetulus griseus (Chinese hamster). Its description in RNAcentral is "lncRNA (ENSCGRG00015042344.1)". The record is from RNAcentral. Lineage: Eukaryota; Metazoa; Chordata; Mammalia; Rodentia; Cricetidae.